AGCGCAGACGGUUGAUUAAGUCUGAUGUGAAAGCCCGGAGCUCAACUCCGGAAUGGCAUUGGAAACUGGUUAACUUGAGUGUUGUAGAGGUAAGUGGAACUCCAUGUGUAGCGGUGGAAUGCGUAGAUAUAUGGAGGAACACCGGUGGCGAAAGCGGCUCUCUGGUCUGUAACUGACACUGAGGCUCGAAAGCGUGGGAGCAAACA
Molecule: ribosomal RNA, 206 nt
Filed under: uncultured bacterium
Lineage: Bacteria
Description: partial 16S ribosomal RNA
Rfam family: Bacterial small subunit ribosomal RNA
Source: RNAcentral